GAUGAACGCUGGCGGCGUGCCUAAUACAUGCAAGUCGAGCGAACGGACGAGAAGCUUGCUUUUCUGAUGUUAGCGGCGGACGGGUGAGUAACACGUGGAUAACCUACCUAUAAGACUGGGAUAACUUCGGGAAACCGGAGCUAAUACCGGAUAAUAUUUUGAACCGCAUGGUUCAAAAGUGAAAGACGGUCUUGCUGUCACUUAUAGAUGGAUCCGCGCUGCAUUAGCUAGUUGGUAAGGUAACGGCUUACCAAGGCAACGAUGCAUAGCCGACCUGAGAGGGUGAUCGGCCACACUGGAACUGAGACACGGUCCAGACUCCUACGGGAGGCAGCAGUAGGGAAUCUUCCGCAAUGGGCGAAAGCCUGACGGAGCAACGCCGCGUGAGUGAUGAAGGUCUUCGGAUCGUAAAACUCUGUUAUUAGGGAAGAGCAUAUGUGUAAGUAACUGUGCACAUCUUGACGGUACCUAAUCAGAAAGCCACGGCUAACCACGUG
RNAcentral lists this ribosomal RNA (497 nucleotides) under uncultured bacterium. RNAcentral describes it as "partial 16S ribosomal RNA". It matches the Rfam family "Bacterial small subunit ribosomal RNA", at positions 28 to 507 of the family's 1533-position model. The record is from RNAcentral.